RNAcentral lists this ribosomal RNA (397 nucleotides) under Klebsiella pneumoniae. Its description in RNAcentral is "bacterial LSU rRNA". It matches the Rfam family "Bacterial large subunit ribosomal RNA", at positions 2546 to 2925 of the family's 2925-position model. The record is from RNAcentral. Lineage: Bacteria; Pseudomonadati; Pseudomonadota; Gammaproteobacteria; Enterobacterales; Enterobacteriaceae.
CCUGGGGCUGAAGUAGGUCCCAAGGGUAUGGCUGUUCGCCAUUUAAAGUGGUACGCGAGCUGGGUUUAGAACGUCGUGAGACAGUUCGGUCCCUAUCUGCCGUGGGCGCUGGAGAAUUGAGGGGGGCUGCUCCUAGUACGAGAGGACCGGAGUGGACGCAUCACUGGUGUUCGGGUUGUCAUGCCAAUGGCACUGCCCGGUAGCUAAAUGCGGAAGAGAUAAGUGCUGAAAGCAUCUAAGCACGAAACUUGCCCCGAGAUGAGUUCUCCCUGAGACUAUAAGUCUCCUGAAGGAACGUUGAAGACGACGACGUUGAUAGGCCGGGUGUGUAAGCGCAGCGAUGCGUUGAGCUAACCGGUACUAAUGAACCGUGAGGCUUAACCUUACAACGCCGAAG